GCCGAACACGACGUUGUCAAAACCGGGAUUUAUGGUUGUCAAGAAGUGGUUGGCAACGACGGGGGAGAUACUCUACGUCUGAAAGGCAAAUUGGCUGCAGCCUCAGGAUGCCCCGUGUCUUUGCCUGAAUCAGCUACUUUUGUUACUUUCAGGCCAAUAACACCCCAAGACGACAGGGAGUCGCAUAGCCUGGCAGAUCCAGUUUCC
Molecule: long non-coding RNA, 207 nt
Organism: Scomber japonicus (chub mackerel)
Lineage: Eukaryota; Metazoa; Chordata; Actinopteri; Scombriformes; Scombridae
Exons: 3
Source: RefSeq, a predicted model, not a curated record